AAUACAAAUACUAAAAGCUCAGUGGGAAGAUUUAAAUAUAUUUACUUAUCAUCAACUAGAGCGACGGGAUAACUAAUAAGUAUUUGGAUAAAUUAAUUCAUAAUUUAACCACUGUUUAAGGUUUACGUUAAAUUUACUUCUUAUCAUAUUGCUAUUUUUGUUACUCUAAAGAUCGUUUGUUCAUUGUUGU
RNAcentral lists this small RNA (190 nucleotides) under Arabidopsis thaliana (thale cress). Its description in RNAcentral is "ATSL222560". The record is from RNAcentral. Lineage: Eukaryota; Viridiplantae; Streptophyta; Magnoliopsida; Brassicales; Brassicaceae.